This 749-nucleotide ribosomal RNA is filed under the name Schumannella luteola. Its description in RNAcentral is "bacterial SSU rRNA". It matches the Rfam family "Bacterial small subunit ribosomal RNA", at positions 76 to 845 of the family's 1533-position model. The record is from RNAcentral. Lineage: Bacteria; Bacillati; Actinomycetota; Actinomycetes; Micrococcales; Microbacteriaceae.
GAGCUUGCUCUUCUGGAUCAGUGGCGAACGGGUGAGUAACACGUGAGUAACCUGCCCUUGACUCUGGGAUAAGCGUUGGAAACGACGUCUAAUACCGGAUACGAGCUUCAGCCGCAUGGCUAGGAGUUGGAAAGAAUUUCGGUCAAGGAUGGACUCGCGGCCUAUCAGGUUGUUGGUGAGGUAAUGGCUCACCAAGCCUACGACGGGUAGCCGGCCUGAGAGGGUGACCGGCCACACUGGGACUGAGACACGGCCCAGACUCCUACGGGAGGCAGCAGUGGGGAAUAUUGCACAAUGGGCGAAAGCCUGAUGCAGCAACGCCGCGUGAGGGACGACGGCCUUCGGGUUGUAAACCUCUUUUAGCAGGGAAGAAGCGAAAGUGACGGUACCUGCAGAAAAAGCACCGGCUAACUACGUGCCAGCAGCCGCGGUAAUACGUAGGGUGCAAGCGUUAUCCGGAAUUAUUGGGCGUAAAGAGCUCGUAGGCGGUUGGUCGCGUCUGCUGUGAAAUCCCGAGGCUCAACCUCGGGUCUGCAGUGGGUACGGGCCAGCUAGAGUGCGGUAGGGGAGAAUGGAAUUCCUGGUGUAGCGGUGGAAUGCGCAGAUAUCAGGAGGAACACCGAUGGCGAAGGCAGUUCUCUGGGCCGUUACUGACGCUGAGGAGCGAAAGCGUGGGGAGCGAACAGGAUUAGAUACCCUGGUAGUCCACGCCGUAAACGUUGGGCGCUAGAUGUGGGGACCAUUCCACG